GAUGAACGCUGGCGGCGUGCCCAAUACAUGCAAGUCGAGCGAACAGACGAGGAGCUUGCUCCUCUGACGUUAGCGGCGGACGGGUGAGUAACACGUGGAUAACCUACCUAUAAGACUGGGAUAACUUCGGGAAACCGGAGCUAAUACCGGAUAAUAUAUUGAACCGCAUGGUUCAAUAGUGAAAGACGGUUUUGCUGUCACUUAUAGAUGGAUCCGCGCCGCAUUAGCUAGUUGGUAAGGUAACGGCUUACCAAGGCAACGAUGCGUAGCCGACCUGAGAGGGUGAUCGGCCACACUGGAACUGAGACACGUUCCAGACUCCUACGGGAGGCAGCAGUAGGGAAUCUGCCGCAAGGGGCGAAAGCCUGACGGAGCAACGCCGCGUGAGUGAGGAAGGUCUGCGGAUCGUAAAACUCUGUUACUAGGGAAGAACAAAUGUGUAAGUAACGAUGCACGUCUGGACGGUACCUAAUCAGAAAGCCACGGCGAACUACGU
RNAcentral lists this ribosomal RNA (496 nucleotides) under uncultured bacterium. RNAcentral's name for it is "partial 16S ribosomal RNA". It matches the Rfam family "Bacterial small subunit ribosomal RNA", at positions 28 to 506 of the family's 1533-position model. The record is from RNAcentral.